RNAcentral lists this transfer RNA (70 nucleotides) under bovine gut metagenome. It matches the Rfam family "tRNA". From Rfam's summary of the family: Transfer RNA (tRNA) molecules are approximately 80 nucleotides in length. Their secondary structure includes four short double-helical elements and three loops (D, anti-codon, and T loops). Further hydrogen bonds mediate the characteristic L-shaped molecular structure. tRNAs have two regions of fundamental functional importance: the anti-codon, which is responsible for specific mRNA codon recognition, and the 3' end, to which the tRNAs corresponding amino acid is attached (by aminoacyl-tRNA synthetases). tRNAs cope with the degeneracy of the genetic code in two manners: having more than one tRNA (with a specific anti-codon) for a particular amino acid; and 'wobble' base-pairing, i.e. permitting non-standard base-pairing at the 3rd anti-codon position. The record is from RNAcentral.
GACGAUAGCUCAGUGGUUAGAGCCCCCGACUCAUAAUCGGGUAGUCGCCGGUUCAAGUCCGGCUCGUCCC